GAUGAACGCUGGCGGCGUGCCUAAUACAUGCAAGUCGAGCGAACGGACGAUAAGCUUGCUUCUCUGAUGUUAGCGGCGGACGGGUGAGUAACACGUGGAUCACCUACCUAUAAGACUGGGAUAACUUCGGGGAACCGGAGCUAAUACCGGAUGAUAUUUUGAACCGCAUGGAUCAAAAGUGCAAGACAGUCUUGCUGUCACUUAUAGAUGGAUCCGCGCUGCCUUAGCUAGUUGGUAAGGUAACGGCUCACCAAGGCAACGAUGCGUAGCCGAUCUGAGAGGAUGAUCAGCCACACUGGAACUGAGACACGGUCCAGACUCCUACUGGAGGCAGCAGUGGGGAAUAUUGGACAAUGGGCGCAAGCCUGAUCCAGCCAUACCGAGUGGGUGAAGAAGGCCUUCGGGUUGUACAGCCCUUUUGUUGGGAAAGAAAAGCAGCAGGUUAAUACCCCGCUGUUCUGACGGUACCCAAAGAAUAAGCACCGGCUAACUUCGUG
Molecule: ribosomal RNA, 497 nt
Filed under: uncultured bacterium
Lineage: Bacteria
Description: partial 16S ribosomal RNA
Rfam family: Bacterial small subunit ribosomal RNA
Source: RNAcentral